UCCUUGAAAUUGAUGUUCGUACCUAAAUGUACAGACAGCAUAGGAUAUUUCUUCAUCAUCUUUAUUCUCUCUCUCUCAUGUUUCUUCUUUAAUUUGUGAAUUUCUUCAUUGUAUUCUUGUCAAAGGACAUUUUAUUCCUUAAUUCCUUCUCUCUCCAUUCUAAAAUCUUGACUGGUAUGUAUCGUGAGGCAAGCUUUCCUUUCAUUGUUGCAUGCCCUUCUUCUUGCUACUUUAAACUGACCAAACUUAGAAAGUGCUUCCUGAAACAAAUGUCACAUGGAUUCCUAUCGUCGUCUCUAAAUUGAAAUUCAGAAACUAACUUCCUAUGUUGUAUUGACUUUUGGCUGUUAAAUUAGUCUAAUAAUAGUUUUCCUCCUUAUUCUGAAGUUAAUGGCCAUUGCUAUCUUUUUCUUCCCAGCAGCUACUCGCCAUGUUGUCCAAUGAGCUCAUUUGUUUUGAUGGUCAAUUUUGUUUUGCUUGCAAUGCCCUAACUUUGGGCAACGAAGGACUUCUUUUUAUUGUUUAUGAAUCCUGAACUUAGUAUUCUUUCAUUUGACGUUUGCGGUAUUUUGCAUUUCUAUGUUUCUGUUCGCUUACAUUUUUUACGAAUACAGUUGCGUCCCCCCACCCACCCACCACUCCUUCCCCAUGCACCAAAAUGUUUGCAUACCUUUCAUUUGUGUGCAUGCUUCUGAAUUCUUCCACUUUCCCAUGUAUUACAGCUAUUUAUUUGUUUAGAUUAGCUUUUUCUUACGCGAUUUGAAAUCACUAUUGUUUGUACCUUGGUUUUGCUUUUGCAUUGAAGUAGUGCCUUGUUUUUUCUAAUGUAAUUUGCCAUGUUGUUUACUUCGCUUUGAUCUAUGUUGCUAGGGUCUUUAGGUUCAAAAAUCCAUUCCGAGAGCUGGUUCAGUGUGGGAUCAGCGAAGUUGUCUAGAAAAUUAAGACAUGGUUUAUAAAUUUUACCGAAAAAUGUCUUCUGAUAUGGUUCCUAUACAUGAGUUAUAUGCUGCGUGUUUUUGUUGGUGUUAAAUUCGUGAUCUAGCUUUCGGUUUUGGUGAGCCUACUGUGCAUUGAGUUUUUCUUGCUAUGCUGUUAUUCGUACAAAGAUUCAAAGGUGUGAAGGAACAAUAUUGCUCGCUUUGCUCACCUAAGCAGCCAGGCCAAAUCAUUUGCUCAGCUGGGUAGAUGAUCUUUUACAUCGACCAGUUUGUGUAGUCUGUUGUCAAGGGUGUCCUGUGCAUGUUGUGCUUAGUUGCUGCUAAAAAACUAGUGUUGUUUUUGUUGGA
This is a long non-coding RNA of Populus nigra (black poplar), 1286 nucleotides long. RefSeq lists it as uncharacterized. The transcript is spliced from 2 exons. The record is from RefSeq and is a predicted model, not a curated record. Lineage: Eukaryota; Viridiplantae; Streptophyta; Magnoliopsida; Malpighiales; Salicaceae.